CCCGUGAUAGCUCAGUUGGUAGAGCGGAGGACUGUAGUUGUUAACUAGGAAUCCUUAGGUCACUGGUUCGAAUCCUGUUCGCGGGA
Non-coding RNA from Biomphalaria glabrata, 86 nucleotides. The record is from Rfam. NCBI's taxonomy places the organism in Eukaryota, Metazoa, Mollusca, Gastropoda, Planorbidae.